Molecule: ribosomal RNA, 303 nt
Filed under: uncultured bacterium
Lineage: Bacteria
Description: partial 16S ribosomal RNA
Rfam family: Bacterial small subunit ribosomal RNA
Source: RNAcentral
AGCAGUAGCCGCGGGAAAACGGAGGGUGCAAGCGUUAAUCGGAAUUACUGGGCGUAAAGCGCACGCAGGCGGUCUGACAAGUCAGAUGUGAAAUCCCCGGGCUUAACCUGGGAACUGCAUUUGAAACUGUCAGGCUGGAGUCUUGUAGAGGGGGGUGGAAUUCCAGGUGUAGCGGUGAAAUGCGUAGAGAUCUGGAGGAAUACCGGUGGCGAAGGCGGCCCCCUGGACAAAGACUGACGCUCAGGUGCGAAAGCGUGGGGAGCAAACAGGAUUAGAUACCCGUGUAGUCCCUGUCUCUUAUAC